Molecule: long non-coding RNA, 353 nt
Organism: Nicotiana tabacum (common tobacco)
Lineage: Eukaryota; Viridiplantae; Streptophyta; Magnoliopsida; Solanales; Solanaceae
Source: RefSeq, a predicted model, not a curated record
UUCAUUCUUUCAAGAAAAAGAAAAAAACACCCCUACCCUCUCUCCUUCUUAUUACCUGAAAACUUCAUGAAAACCACCAUAAAUUUCUACUAAAUCAACCAGCAAAAUUCAUUCUUUGUGAAGCUCAAGUUGCUCCUCUCUUUUGUGGAAGUGGAAGGAUUUGGUUUGUCUAGGGCGUAGACGAUUCGAACGUCCUGAAGUGGUGGUUGAACUAUUUUGUGGUAAAACACCAAGGUAAUGUACGGGAUGGAAUUUGAAGACGGCCUUAUGAAGUAGUCUUUUUUUUGGGAGUACUUAUGGAGAUCACAUUUGCAUAUGCACCAUGGUUUUGUAUAGUUUUGGGACUUGUACAU